GAUGAACGCUGGCGGCGUGCCUAAUACAUGCAAGUCGAGCGAACAGACGAGGAGCUUGCUCCUCUGACGUUAGCGGCGGACGAGUGAGUAACACGUGGAUAACCUACCUAUAAGACUGGGAUAACUUCGGGAAACCGGAGCUAAUACCGGAUAAUAUAUUGAACCGCAUGGUUCAAUAGUGAAAGACGGUUUUGCUGUCACUUAUAGAUGGAUCCGCGCCGCAUUAGCUAGUUGGUAAGGUAACGGCUUACCAAGGCAACGAUGCGUAGCCGACCUGAGAGGGUGAUCGGCCACACUGGAACUGAGACACGGUCCAGACUCCUACGGGAGGCAGCAGUGGGGAAUCUUCCGCAAUGGGCGAAAGCCUGACGGAGCAACGCCGCGUGAGUGAUGAAGGUCUUCGGAUCGUAAAACUCUGUUAUUAGGGAAGAACAAAUGUGUAAGUAACUAUGCACGUCUUGACGGUACCUAAUCAGAAAGCCACGGCUAACUACGUG
Molecule: ribosomal RNA, 497 nt
Filed under: uncultured bacterium
Lineage: Bacteria
Description: partial 16S ribosomal RNA
Rfam family: Bacterial small subunit ribosomal RNA
Source: RNAcentral